This 1452-nucleotide long non-coding RNA is filed under the name Homo sapiens (human). Its description in RNAcentral is "JARID2 divergent transcript (JARID2-DT)". The record is from RNAcentral. Lineage: Eukaryota; Metazoa; Chordata; Mammalia; Primates; Hominidae.
AACAAACGCUUGGACGUGUCCCGCGUGCGACACUGCUAGAGGCUGGCUCGGGAUUGGCCCGCGGAGCGUGUGGUCCGCGAGCGAGGAACUCCCCACGCCGGCCCUCCUCCGCCCCCCGGGCCCCGGCCCCCCUCCCCUGGCGGCCGCCAGCCCCCUCCCCGCGCGCCCCGCCCCCACCCGCGGCGCGAACCGCCUGUGGAAUCGAGGAAUCGCGCGCGUGCGGCCCGGAGCCGCGGGGGAGGGACGCGAGGCUUCCCCGGGGAAGGCCUCGGAGCGUGGCGGUGAGGGGGGCGGUGUCAGGGAGGGGUUGGAGCCCGUCCUAAGGAAAACUGGGCCACGCACCAAGAGGAAUCCUCGGUGCGAACUAGUUGAUCGGCGGCGCCUGCUGCUUGUGCCGUGCAGCCGGUGUCACCUCAGGACAGCGCCUCGCGUCUGUGUACAGAGCGUGCUGCGGGCGCCUAGGGUAGUCCGAGGUCACCCCUCUCCGCGCCCCGCAGUCGCGCACGCCCCCACGCGCGGGGUGGGCGGUGGCCGGGGGUCGCCGAGUGGAAAGGCCACGCCCCCCCACGCCCGGGCUCGGCACGCUGCCCCUGGGUCGCGAACGCGCCUCCGCUCGACCCGCUUGGAGGACGUCGCUGGUGGCCCAGGAGUGAAGCCCCGGCGGCUGCCUCCUGAGAAAAGAUAGCCGUGUUUAAAGAGACUGAACGGGAUCUUUGCUUUGCCGGGCGUAUUUUGUGAUAAAAUACCACAAAAUGUUGAGACAAAAAUGAGUGGAAUAUGGAGACCGAGCCGCACAGACACGCAAUUGUAAGGAAACAUCUCGAACACCGAGUGCCAGGAAUAUCAACUGUCCGGGCCACGCAAGAGCCUGCUUUUUACCUGCCUCCAGCCCCCUGUCGUGCUGGUUUAAUCGCUGAAACAAAUGAAGUAGCAGGCCCUGGCAUAGCGCUUUGGGCCUUCGCCUUAUUAACAACUUUGUCAAGUCUCGCAUCGCGAUUCUGCCUUGUUAAUUUCCUUGUUUUUCGCUGUGGUUUUGGAGAAGCAAUGUUUUCCAUGAUCUCUCAGGCUAGCCUCGGAAUAAAACGUGGCAGAAGCGCUCCCGCGAACACAUACCCAUAUAUUUUAUUCUACCUAUUCCCUAGAGUCUGCUAACUUCAAAAGUCUAGAUACUCACACAGCUGUUUACUUGCAGCAGUAUUUGAAGAGAUAACCUUGGUGUCUAGAAAGGUCUCAGAAACUGGAGGUAAGAGACCUGGAUUCAAAUCGCGCCUUGGCCACUUCCCAAAAGGCAACCGAGAGCCUCUCUGAGCUUGUCAGUUUCCGCAUCUGCAAAUUAGUGGUGAUCAAACCUGUGGGGAUGAUUAUGUGAUAAAUAACAGUAACCUAGUUUAAAACUAGGCACGUUAUUGGAAGCUUUCAGUAAACGAAAUAAAAAGCCUUUUCGAGAGGGUA